RNAcentral lists this unclassified non-coding RNA (449 nucleotides) under Hevea brasiliensis (rubber tree). The record is from RNAcentral. Lineage: Eukaryota; Viridiplantae; Streptophyta; Magnoliopsida; Malpighiales; Euphorbiaceae.
GGCCAAUCAAAUUUUAAUUUUAUUGCAUAUAGAUAGACUCGAGUGUAUUCUUCUGAUGAUAAGUAUAAACAAGAAAAGCGAGACAAAACGCAGGAAUUUUUUUUGAUUUAAUUGAUGGGCCUUCUCGUGCCUUCGAGAACCGCAAAUUGAGACCUGAUCACUAUUCAUUCACUCUAUUCGAUUUCCAAGUGCCUCGUGUACCAAAUCGUUUCCGUUCAAUUUUUUUUUUAAUUCAAUAAAUACUAUAUGCAUAUACAGCAGGAGGAAGGAAGAUGUAUAGAGCUUGAGUAAUAAUUUUUCUAUUUAGUGAUAAGUAUAAUACCCCUGUAAAGCUGUCUUUCUUGUCGUUACUGUAUUUGGUAGUGUAAGGGCUUAGGACUAUAAGUAAGAGAGUCGCAUACAAGUUUCCUUCACACCCAAGAAGCUAAAGAAAGAAAGAAAGAAAGAAA